RNAcentral lists this long non-coding RNA (367 nucleotides) under Brassica napus (rape). RNAcentral's name for it is "long non-coding RNA (BNAP_LNC000381)". Lineage: Eukaryota; Viridiplantae; Streptophyta; Magnoliopsida; Brassicales; Brassicaceae. The record is from RNAcentral.
ACCCAUUAUUAUUGCUUCCGAGGCCUAAUUAUCAUACACUUUCCAACACUUCAAGGGUAAAAUUUGGAUAAGUUUUAUGGUAAUUCACCAUACUGAGACUUCUAUAAAUCUUCACCUUACAAGGAGAUCAAGAGCAAAUGAACAUGAAACGAGCUAUGAAUAUAUGUACCAGGCUGUACAAUAGCUUCAGUCCCAGAACCAUAUACUUCCGUUAUCACCUUUAUUCGUACAUACAUACAUAGAAACAAUUUUAGUUAAAUGAAGGUGAGCUAGGUAGUUAUACAAUCACAGAAAAGGGAUUCAGAUAAAUUUGUUACCUCCAGUCACCAUUACACCAUCCUCGUUCACAGCCACUACGUUAAUUAUA